UGCAGUCGAACGGCAGCGCGGGAGCAAUCCUGGCGGCGAGUGGCGAACGGGUGAGUAAUACAUCGGAACGUGCCCAAUCGUGGGGGAUAACGCAGCGAAAGCUGUGCUAAUACCGCAUACGAUCUACGGAUGAAAGCAGGGGAUCGCAAGACCUUGCGCGAAUGGAGCGGCCGAUGGCAGAUUAGGUAGUUGGUGAGGUAAAGGCUCACCAAGCCUUCGAUCUGUAGCUGGUCUGAGAGGACGACCAGCCACACUGGGACUGAGACACGGCCCAGACUCCUACGGGAGGCAGCAGUGGGGAAUUUUGGACAAUGGGCGAAAGCCUGAUCCAGCCAUGCCGCGUGCAGGAUGAAGGCCUUCGGGUUGUAAACUGCUUUUGUACGGAACGAAACGGCCUUUUCUAAUAAAGAGGGCUAAUGACGGUACCGUAAGAAUAAGCACCGGCUAACUACGUGCCAGCAGCCGCGGUAAUACGUAGGGUGCAAGCGUUAAUCGGAAUUACUGGGCGUAAAGCGUGCGCAGGCGGUUAUGUAAGACAGUUGUGAAAUCCCCGGGCUCAACCUGGGAACUGCAUCUGUGACUGCAUAGCUAGAGUACGGUAGAGGGGGAUGGAAUUCCGCGUGUAGCAGUGAAAUGCGUAGAUAUGCGGAGGAACACCGAUGGCGAAGGCAAUCCCCUGGACCUGUACUGACGCUCAUGCACGAAAGCGUGGGGAGCAAACAGGAUUAGAUACCCUGGUAGUCCACGCCCUAAACGAUGUCAACUGGGUUGUUGGGUCUUCACUGACUCAGUAACGAAGCUAACGCCGUGAAGUUGACCGCCUGGGGGAGUACGGGCCGCAAGGGUUGAAACUCAAAAGGAAUUUGACGGGGGACCCGCACAAAGCGGUGGGAUGGAUGUGGGUUUAAAUUCCGAUGCAACGGCGAAAAAACCUUUACCCCACCUUUUGACAU
RNAcentral lists this ribosomal RNA (953 nucleotides) under Variovorax sp. RNAcentral describes it as "bacterial SSU rRNA". It matches the Rfam family "Bacterial small subunit ribosomal RNA", at positions 56 to 987 of the family's 1533-position model. Lineage: Bacteria; Pseudomonadati; Pseudomonadota; Betaproteobacteria; Burkholderiales; Comamonadaceae. The record is from RNAcentral.